UAAGGCCUACUCUCCUCCCACCUUGUAUCUCAGCCAGCAGAACAUCACUGAGACGUGCCUGGCCUAAGGCAUCCUCUCAACAGCACCACAAAGGCACGUUGGAAGUUUCUUGCCAGAAUUGAUCGGAUAGAGCGUCUUGUAGGGUAAGAGUGUAGAU
Molecule: long non-coding RNA, 157 nt
Organism: Pipistrellus kuhlii (Kuhl's pipistrelle)
Lineage: Eukaryota; Metazoa; Chordata; Mammalia; Chiroptera; Vespertilionidae
Exons: 4
Source: RefSeq, a predicted model, not a curated record